This 497-nucleotide ribosomal RNA is filed under the name uncultured bacterium. RNAcentral describes it as "partial 16S ribosomal RNA". It matches the Rfam family "Bacterial small subunit ribosomal RNA", at positions 28 to 507 of the family's 1533-position model. The record is from RNAcentral.
GACGAACGCUGGCGGCGUGCCUAACACAUGCAAGUAGAACGCUGAAGUGAGGAGUUUACUCUUCUCGGAUGAGUUGCGAACGGGUGAGUAAUGCGUAGGUAACCUGCCUUGUAGCGGGGGAUAACUAUUGGAAACGAUAGCAAAUACCGCAUAACAAUGGAUGACACAUGGCAUUUAUUUGAAAGGGGUAAUUGCUCCACUACAAGAUGGACCUGCGUUGUAUUAGCUAGUAGGCGAGGUAAUGGCUCACCUAGGCGGCGAUACAUAGCCGACCUGAGAGGGAGAUCGGCCACACUGGGACUUGGACACGGCCCCGGCUCCUGCGGGAAGGAGCAGUAGGGGAUCUGCGGAAAUGGGGGGAAACCUGACCGAGCACCGGCGCGUGAGAGGAAAAGGUUUUCGGAUCGGAAAGCUCUGUUGUGAGUGGAGAACGGGUGUGAGGGUGGAAAGUUCACUCUGUGACGUUACCUUACGAAGAAGGAACGGCUAACUACGUG